AGCACCCAGCAUCUUUCCAACAAGUCUCUCCCCUUCAUGGCCUGCAACCAGAGGGAUCAUCCUGUCCCUGCUGCUGCUGCUGCUGCUGCUGCAAGUAACUGAGGUCGUAAGUGUAAACAACACGGCUGCAACAUCUGCCUGAGCCCUACAAGUCUGCAAAUAUAUCAGGAAGACUCCCCACAGAAUUGGAAGGACCUCUAACAUCUUCAAUAUGUCACUAGGGACUUGAGGAGUCCUGAGGAUGAUGGAAAAAUCUGCUGUCCAAAAAUGUGACAUAGAGAGAAAUCUACCAUCCUAGGGGCUGAAAUUAUAAAAGUGAAUGGAGAAAUAAGAAUUGGGAACAUUAGACGCUGUUGUAGAGUGAAUCAUGUACCCCACAAAGAUGUUAAAUCUAAACCCCCAGUCUUCAUUUGUAAAUGAGAUUUUCGAAGGUCCUAUUAAGAUGAAGCCAAACUGAAUCAGGUUGGGCCUUAACCCAAUAUGACUGGAGUCUUUAUAAGCAAAGGAAAUUUGGACAUGAAGUAGAAGCCAGAGAGCAAAACAGAAGGAGACAGAUCGCCAUGUGAUGGGGUCAGAGAUUGCGCCACCACCAGAAAGCUACAGAUUUUGGAGAAGGCAUGGCCUGCUGUUAUCUUUAUUUUUGACUUGUAGUCUCCAAAACUAUGGGAUAAUAAAUUCCUAUUGUUUAAGCCAAA
Long non-coding RNA from Choloepus didactylus (southern two-toed sloth), 695 nucleotides. RefSeq lists it as uncharacterized. The record is from RefSeq and is a predicted model, not a curated record. The transcript is spliced from 3 exons. NCBI's taxonomy places the organism in Eukaryota, Metazoa, Chordata, Mammalia, Pilosa, Megalonychidae.